UUUCCGUAGGUGAACCUGCGGAAGGAUCAUUAUCGUAUAACCGAGGUGCGAGGGUUGUCGCUGACCCGAAAGGUCGUGCACGCCCGAGUGCCCUCACACACAUCCAUCUCACCCCUAUGUGCACCACCGCGUGGGUCCCCCUUUGGCUUGUUCGGAGGGGGGCUUACGUUUUCACACAAACUUUGUAUGCAGUGUAGAAUGUAUUUUUUGUUUUUGCGAUCACGCAAUCAAUACAACUUUCAACAACGGAUCUCUUGGCUCUC
This 263-nucleotide unclassified non-coding RNA is filed under the name plant metagenome. Its description in RNAcentral is "partial contains small subunit ribosomal RNA, internal transcribed spacer 1, and 5.8S ribosomal RNA". The record is from RNAcentral.